GAUGAACGCUAGCGGCAGGCCUAAUACAUGCAAGUCGAGGGGCAGCAUAGUAGCAAUACUGAUGGCGACCGGCGCACGGGUGCGUAACGCGUAUGCAACCUACCUUUUACUGGGGGAUAGCCCGGAGAAAUUCGGAUUAACACCGCAUAACAUAUUGAGUUGGCAUCAAUUUAAUAUUAAAUAUUUAUAGGUAAGAGAUGGGCAUGCGUCCAAUUAGCUAGNGGUGAGGUAAUGGCUCACCAAGGCUAUGAUUGGUAGGGGUUCUGAGAGGAAGGUCCCCCA
This 282-nucleotide ribosomal RNA is filed under the name uncultured bacterium. Its description in RNAcentral is "partial 16S ribosomal RNA". It matches the Rfam family "Bacterial small subunit ribosomal RNA", at positions 28 to 310 of the family's 1533-position model. The record is from RNAcentral.